This is a long non-coding RNA of Mastomys coucha (southern multimammate mouse), 796 nucleotides long. RefSeq lists it as uncharacterized. The record is from RefSeq and is a predicted model, not a curated record. NCBI's taxonomy places the organism in Eukaryota, Metazoa, Chordata, Mammalia, Rodentia, Muridae. The transcript is spliced from 4 exons.
UCUAAGGAUUCCCUGGGGUUACCUGAAGCAGUCCAAGAGCCCCGGGUCUUCACCACUUUCCUACACAAGGGCAAAAUGAUCCCUUACUUCAAUAUGGCAUGCCAACCCGUUGGACUUCUCAUGAAUUUUGACCUCCUCAACCACACCAGCUAAUCCUCCCUACCCACGUGACACACUUGAAGAUCUGCCACCGUUCUACUUAUUGGAUUCUAAGCUUUACUGAUCCAGCCUGGAUAUUUCCACCUUGACCCUUCCCUGUAGCCAGAGCCAAAGCAAACCAGACACACCAGCCAACAGACUUCUGGGAAUCCAGGCACCAGCCUAUUGAGCAACUACGUGUAAAACACUCUGAAUACUCUGGCCUUUUAAAAUGAAAAUCAGAAAACACCUGCUGUGGCCAAAACACAAGUUCCAAAACCAUACUGGGCCAAUACACACACGACUGUACUUACCAAAGUAAAUAAGGAAAACCAAGCCGUGCGUACUCAGUGCUUAUCAGAAAAUGAUCACCUGCCAGACCUUCCAUUGGCCAUAAAACAUCUUGAACAGAAGGGCAACCAACGGAGGCACACUGCUAGCUCCCGGGGCAGCCAACGCUAGAGCCGCUCUCUGUGAAGGGCCCACGUUGAAAGUCCUAACACUGCACAUUCCUUAGCAGGAACUUGAAGGACGAGAUCAUCUUUAUGGCCAGAAGACAUGCCCGAAGCUCAGAUGUAACGGAGGCUAUUGGGAUGUCAGCCUCUUCUGCUUCCAGCUGGCAGGAGGCCUCACCUCCUAGUUAAAUUUUCACCCAGAA